AACGUAGGUCACAAGCGUUGUCCGGAAUUACUGGGUGUAAAGGGAGCGCAGGCGGGAAGACAAGUUGGAAGUGAAAUCUAUGGGCUCAACCCAUAAACUGCUUUCAAAACUGUUUUUCUUGAGUAGUGCAGAGGUAGGCGGAAUUCCCGGUGUAGCGGUGGAAUGCGUAGAUAUCGGGAGGAACACCAGUGGCGAAGGCGGCCUACUGGGCACCAACUGACGCUGAGGCUUGAAAGUGUGGGUAGCAAACAGG
This 253-nucleotide ribosomal RNA is filed under the name Faecalibacterium prausnitzii. RNAcentral's name for it is "partial 16S ribosomal RNA". It matches the Rfam family "Bacterial small subunit ribosomal RNA", at positions 524 to 776 of the family's 1533-position model. Lineage: Bacteria; Bacillati; Bacillota; Clostridia; Eubacteriales; Oscillospiraceae. The record is from RNAcentral.